This 1252-nucleotide ribosomal RNA is filed under the name metagenome. Its description in RNAcentral is "bacterial SSU rRNA". It matches the Rfam family "Bacterial small subunit ribosomal RNA", at positions 243 to 1520 of the family's 1533-position model. The record is from RNAcentral.
AGCUAGUUGGUGAGGUAACGGCCCACCAAGGCAACGAUCGGUAGCCGGACUGAGAGGUUGAACGGCCACAUUGGGACUGAGACACGGCCCAGACUCCUACGGGAGGCAGCAGUGGGGAAUAUUGCACAAUGGGGGAAACCCUGAUGCAGCGACGCCGCGUGGAGGAAGAAGGUCUUCGGAUUGUAAACUCCUGUUGUUGAGGAAGAUAAUGACGGUACUCAACAAGGAAGUGACGGCUAACUACGUGCCAGCAGCCGCGGUAAAACGUAGGUCACAAGCGUUGUCCGGAAUUACUGGGUGUAAAGGGAGCGCAGGCGGGCGAUCAAGUUGGAAGUGAAAUCCAUGGGCUCAACCCAUGAACUGCUUUCAAAACUGAUUGUCUUGAGUAGUGCAGAGGUAGGCGGAAUUCCCGGUGUAGCGGUGGAAUGCGUAGAUAUCGGGAGGAACACCAGUGGCGAAGGCGGCCUACUGGGCACCAACUGACGCUGAGGCUCGAAAGUGUGGGUAGCAAACAGGAUUAGAUACCCUGGUAGUCCACACCGUAAACGAUGAUUACUAGGUGUUGGAGGAUUGACCCCUUCAGUGCCGCAGUUAACACAAUAAGUAAUCCACCUGGGGAGUACGACCGCAAGGUUGAAACUCAAAGGAAUUGACGGGGGCCCGCACAAGCAGUGGAGUAUGUGGUUUAAUUCGACGCAACGCGAAGAACCUUACCAAGUCUUGACAUCCUGCGACGGACAUAGAAAUAUGUUUUUCCUUCGGGACGCAGAGACAGGUGGUGCAUGGUUGUCGUCAGCUCGUGUCGUGAGAUGUUGGGUUAAGUCCCGCAACGAGCGCAACCCUUAUGGUCAGUUACUACGCAAGAGGACUCUGGCCAGACUGCCGUUGACAAAACGGAGGAAGGUGGGGAUGACGUCAAAUCAUCAUGCCCUUUAUGACUUGGGCUACACACGUACUACAAUGGCGUUAAACAAAGAGAAGCAAGACCGCGAGGUGGAGCAAAACUCAGAAACAACGUCCCAGUUCGGACUGCAGGCUGCAACUCGCCUGCACGAAGUCGGAAUUGCUAGUAAUCGCAGAUCAGCAUGCUGCGGUGAAUACGUUCCCGGGCCUUGUACACACCGCCCGUCACACCAUGAGAGCCGGGGGGACCCGAAGUCGGUAGUCUAACCGCAAGGAGGACGCCGCCGAAGGUAAAACUGGUGAUUGGGGUGAAGUCGUAACAAGGUAGCCGUAGGAGAACCUGCGGCUG